This 794-nucleotide ribosomal RNA is filed under the name uncultured marine bacterium. RNAcentral describes it as "bacterial SSU rRNA". It matches the Rfam family "Bacterial small subunit ribosomal RNA", at positions 57 to 849 of the family's 1533-position model. The record is from RNAcentral.
GCAAGUCGAGCGCGAAAACACUUCGGUGUGAGUAGAGCGGCGGACGGGUGAGUAAUGCUUGGGAAUCUGCCCAGUAGUGGGGGAUAACCUGUGGAAACGCAGGCUAAUACCGCAUACGUCCUACGGGAGAAAGCAGGGGAUCUUCGGACCUUGCGCUAUUGGAUAAGCCCAAGUCAGAUUAGCUUGUUGGUAGGGUAAUGGCCUACCAAGGCAACGAUCUGUAGCUGGUCUGAGAGGAUGAUCAGCCACACUGGGACUGAGACACGGCCCAGACUCCUACGGGAGGCAGCAGUGGGGAAUAUUGCACAAUGGGCGAAAGCCUGAUGCAGCCAUGCCGCGUGUGUGAAGAAGGCUCUAGGGUUGUAAAGCACUUUCAGUAGGGAGGAAAUGUUAACGAUUAAUACUCGUUAGCUUUGACGUUACCUACAGAAGAAGCACCGGCAAACUCCGUGCCAGCAGCCGCGGUAAUACGGAGGGUGCGAGCGUUAAUCGGAAUUACUGGGCGUAAAGCGCGCGUAGGUGGUUUGAUAAGCUAGCUGUGAAAGCCCCGGGCUCAACCUGGGAACUGCAGUUAGAACUGUCUGACUAGAGUACAGUAGAGGGUGGCGGAAUUUCCUGUGUAGCGGUGAAAUGCGUAGAUAUGGGAAGGAACAUCAGUGGCGAAGGCGGCCACCUGGACUGAUACUGACACUGAGGUGCGAAAGCGUGAGGAGCAAACAGGAUUAGAUACCCUGGUAGUCCACGCCGUAAACGAUGUCUACUAGCCGUUGGGAGACUUGAUCUCUUAGUGGCGC